GAUGAACGCUGGCGGUAUGCUUAACACAUGCAAGUCGAACGGACUCUUCGGAGUUAGUGGCGGACGGGUGAGUAACGCGUGAGAAUCUGGCUUUGGGUUCGGGACAACCACUGGAAACGGUGGCUAAUACCGGAUGUGCCGAGAGGCAAAAGAGAAAUUGCCUGAAGAUGAGCUCGCGUCUGAUUAGCUAGUUGGUGAGGUAAGGGCUCACCAAGGCAGCGAUCAGUAGCUGGUCUGAGAGGAUGACCAGCCACACUGGGACUGAGACACGGCCCAGACGCCUACGGGAGGCAGCAGUGGGGAAUGUUCCGCAAUGGGCGAAAGCCUGACGGAGCAAUACCGCGUGAGGGAAGAAGGCUCUUGGGUUGUAAACCUCUUUUCUUAGGGAAGAACAAAAUGACGGUACCUAAGGAAUCAGCAUCGGCUAACUCCGUG
RNAcentral lists this ribosomal RNA (435 nucleotides) under uncultured bacterium. RNAcentral's name for it is "partial 16S ribosomal RNA". It matches the Rfam family "Bacterial small subunit ribosomal RNA", at positions 28 to 507 of the family's 1533-position model. The record is from RNAcentral.